UACAGGGGGUGCUAGCGUUGUUCGGAAUUACUGGGCGUAAAGGGCGCGUAGGCGGUUUUGCAAGUCAGGAGUGAAAUCCCGGAGCUUAACUUCGGAAUUGCUUUUGAAACUACAAGGCUAGAGUGAGUUAGAGGAUGGCGGAAUUCCUAGUGUAGUGGUGAAAUACGUAGAUAUUAGGAAGAACACCGGUGGCGAAGGCGGCCAUCUGGGACUCAACUGACGCUGAGGCGCGAAAGCGUGGGGAUCAAACAGG
RNAcentral lists this ribosomal RNA (253 nucleotides) under uncultured bacterium. RNAcentral's name for it is "partial 16S ribosomal RNA". It matches the Rfam family "Bacterial small subunit ribosomal RNA", at positions 524 to 776 of the family's 1533-position model. The record is from RNAcentral.